UUUCAAUAAAUCUUCAAAGACAAAGGAAUCUGCUGCAGCAUCAUGUGGGAUUGACUUCCAUCCUCUUUUGCAAAGAACUGAUGAUGAAAAUAGUGACGUUGCCACAGCAUGCUCCAAUACUCACCAAUUUGUUUGCUUGGGAGGCAAAUCUGCUCAAUUUCAAAAUACUUUAGAUGCUGUUCAGACUACAUCACUGGUCAAUAGUAGUCCAUCUGCUACUGGCUCAAAAGCCUCUGUUCCGAAUGAGAAAGCUAAUGAACUGGACUUGGAAAUCCAUCUAAGUUCUACGACCAGAAAAGAGAAAACUAAGGAAAGUAGAGAUUUUGGUGCAAAUAAUGAACCAAAGUCAACAAUAAGUGCACCAAAUGCUGGAAAUACAAUUGAAAAGCACAAAACUAACAAUUCAUGUCACCAACAAAACGGUGCUAGUGCUGAUGCGUCAAUUGUCCCAAGCAAUAAUGACAGCGGCUGCAACAUGGAUGACCUAGGGGACCAGUCUCACCCAGAGAUUGUGAUGGAACAGGAAGAGUUGAGUGACUCUGAUGAAGAAAUUGAAGAACAUGUAGAGUUCGAACGUGAGGAGAUGGCUGAUUCUGACGGGGAGGAGGGUUUGGGCUGUGAACUAGUUGCAGAGGUGCACUAUAAGGACCUUCCAAGUUUGGCAACAGAAAAAAUUGCAACUGAUGCAGAUUGUGGUGAUAAACAAUGUGAAUGGAGUAGUCCUGUUCAUCCUCAGAGCAAUACUUCUAUCCCUGGGAAAGGCAGUCCUUUCUUAGAGUUGGGUCUGACAAGCCUGGGGAAGGAUGCUGCUAGCAGCUCUUGGUUAACUCUAGAAUCAUGUGCGACUGUUGAUCCUCCAAGCAGAAAGGAUAAGCAUGAAGAGUGUGCAAUGAGUGUUUGUCCUAUUGCCAAAAACUUAGCUUCAUGUCGUCCCAAUAGAUCUUGCAGGAAGACAACACCAAGCAUGAAAACAGUUGCAACAGAGAAGGAAGUUACGGACAUGGCACAACAACUCAGCCUUGGUCCUCUCGCUGUUUCCUCAUUGAAGAAACCCAGGAAACGAUCUUGUCGAACAAAUACAAGUUUGAGCACAGGAAUGACAACUGAAAAUCCCAGAUACGAUCAAGAGAAGCUGGGUUGACUUUGCUUUGUCACUAACUCUUUUACCAUGAAGCUUUUCUGAUUUGUAUGCCCACUGGAGAUAUGCUAUGAAUAGGAGGGGGUAGCUUUUUGUGUUAAUUAUUUGUGAAUUAAAAUUAGUAAAUUUUAUCAUUUAUUCUAGGGUUAUGUACAUGUGAUAUUUUGCUUGUAGAUAGAUUCUGUUAACACUCCCAAUUUGCUUAAAACGGGUUGUUGUGAAGGAUAUUGGUAAU
Molecule: unclassified non-coding RNA, 1373 nt
Filed under: Hevea brasiliensis (rubber tree)
Lineage: Eukaryota; Viridiplantae; Streptophyta; Magnoliopsida; Malpighiales; Euphorbiaceae
Source: RNAcentral